RNAcentral lists this ribosomal RNA (403 nucleotides) under Azospirillum sp. Its description in RNAcentral is "bacterial SSU rRNA". It matches the Rfam family "Bacterial small subunit ribosomal RNA", at positions 38 to 489 of the family's 1533-position model. The record is from RNAcentral. Lineage: Bacteria; Pseudomonadati; Pseudomonadota; Alphaproteobacteria; Rhodospirillales; Azospirillaceae.
GGCGGCAUGCCUAACACAUGCAAGUCGAACGAAGGCUUCGGCCUUAGUGGCGCACGGGUGAGUAACACGUGGGAACCUGCCUUAUGGUUCGGGAUAACGUCUGGAAACGGACGCUAACACCGGAUGUGCCCUUCGGGGGAAAGUUUACGCCAUGAGAGGGGCCCGCGUCCGAUUAGGUAGUUGGUGGGGUAAUGGCCCACCAAGCCGACGAUCGGUAGCUGGUCUGAGAGGAUGAUCAGCCACACUGGGACUGAGACACGGCCCAGACUCCUACGGGAGGCAGCAGUGGGGAAUAUUGGACAAUGGGGGCAACCCUGAUCCAGCAAUGCCGCGUGAGUGAUGAAGGCCUUAGGGUUGUAAAGCUCUUUCGCACGCNACGAUGAUGACGGUAGCGUGAGAAGAA